UCCUCUUUACAGAGGCAGUUUGUUUCGAGUUCCCACCAUUACGUGCUGGCAACAAAACAUGAGGGUUGCGCUCGUUGCGGGACUUAACCCAACAUUUCACAACACGAGCUGACGACAGCCAUGCACCACCUGUGGACCACCCUCGAAGGCGACUCCUUUUCUAGGGCCUUCCUAGGAUGUCAAGCCUUGGUAAGGUUCUUCGCGUAGCAUCGAAUUAAACCACAUGCUCCACUGCUUGUGCGGGUCCCCGUCAAUUCCUUUGAGUUUCAGUCUUGCGACCGUACUCCCCAGGCGGCGAACUUAACGCGUUAGCUUCGAUACUGCGUGCCAAAUUGCACCCAACAUCCAGUUCGCAUCGUUUAGGGCGUGGACUAC
Molecule: unclassified non-coding RNA, 375 nt
Filed under: uncultured Pseudomonadota bacterium
Lineage: Bacteria; Pseudomonadati; Pseudomonadota
Description: uncultured proteobacterium contains 16S-23S intergenic spacer region
Source: RNAcentral